CAACAGAAACAGGGGUGCUGCGCGCGGCGCGGCUGAGAAAAACCCUUUGCACCCGAUACAGUUAAUCCUGUCGUGGGGAGUUUCAGCAUCAUCGAA
RNAcentral lists this non-coding RNA (96 nucleotides) under Neisseria sp. RNAcentral's name for it is "TPP sequence". It matches the Rfam family "TPP riboswitch aptamer (THI element)". From Rfam's summary of the family: Vitamin B(1) in its active form thiamin pyrophosphate (TPP) is an essential coenzyme that is synthesised by coupling of pyrimidine and thiazole moieties in bacteria. Lineage: Bacteria; Pseudomonadati; Pseudomonadota; Betaproteobacteria; Neisseriales; Neisseriaceae. The record is from RNAcentral. RNAcentral also lists the same sequence under 1 other name.